AAGAGUUUGAUCCUGGCUCAGGACGAACGCUGGCGGCGUGCCUAACACAUGCAAGUCGAACGGAGAAUUUCAAUAAGCUUGCUUAGAGAAAUUUUUAGUGGCGGACGGGGUGGGUAACCUACCCAUAAACCCGGGACAACCCUUGGAAACGAGGGCUAAUACCGGAUAAUCUUUGAGAGUGGCAUCACUCUUAAAGAAAAGGUGGCCUCUGAAAAUGCUACCGAUUAUGGAUGGACCCGCGUCUGAUUAGCUAGUUGGUGGGGUAAAGGCCUACCAAAGCGACGAUGGGUAGCCGGCCUGAGAGGGUGACCGGCCACACUGGAACUGAGAUACGGUCCAGACUCCUACGGGAGGCAGCAGUGGGGAAUCUUCCGCAAUGGGCGAAAGCCUGACGGAGCAACGCCGCGUGAGCGAAGAAGGUCUUCGGAUUGUAAAGCUCUGUGAUAUUGGACGAACAGUUUUCCUGUGAAUAAUGGGAAGAAAUGACGGUACAAUAAGAGGAAGCCACGGCUAACUACGUGCCAGCAGCCGCGGUAAUACGUAGGUGGCAAACGUUGUCCGGUUACUGGGCGUAAAGGGCGAGUAGGUGGUUUAUUAAGUCAAGAGUGAAAACUCCAGGCUCAACUUGGAGACUGCUCUACGAAACUGGUAGACUUGAGUGCAAGAGAGGGAAGUGGAAUUCCUAGUGUAGCGGUGAAAUGCGUAGAUAUUAGGAGGAACACCAGUGGCGAAGGCGACUUCCUGGCUUGUAACUGACACUGAGGCGCGAAAGCGUGGGGAUCAAACAGGAUUAGAUACCCUGGUAGUCCACGCCGUAAACGAUGAGUGCUAGGUGUCGGGGGUAUCGACCCCCCUCGGUGCCACAGCUAACGCAAUAAGCACUCCGCCUGGGGAGUACGGUCGCAAGACUGACUCAAAGGAAUUGACGGGGGCCCGCACAAGCGGUGGAGUAUGUGGUUUAAUUCGACGCAACGCGAAGAACCUUACCAAGGCUUGACAUCCCGUGACAGCCAUGGAAACAUGGUCUUGCAAGUUUACUUGCACACGGAGACAGGUGGUGCAUGGUUGUCGUCAGCUCGUGUCGUGAGAUGUUGGGUUAAGUCCCGCAACGAGCGCAACCCCUGUGUUUAGUUGCUAACGUUUAAGGCGGGGCACUCUAAUGAGACUGCCGGGGACAACUCGGAGGAAGGUGGGGAUGACGUCAAAUCAUCAUGCCCCUUAUGUCCUGGGCUACACACGUGCUACAAUGGCCGGUACAGACGGAAGCGAAGCCGCGAGGUGAAGCCAAACCUCACAAAGUACGUCUCAGUUCAGAUUGGAGUCUGCAACUCGACUCCAUGAAGGCGGAAUCGCUAGUAAUCGCGGAUCAGCAUGCCGCGGUGAAUACGUUCCCGGGCCUUGUACACACCGCCCGUCACACCACGAAAGUCUGCAACACCCGAAGCCGGUGAGGUAACCCGUAAGGGAGCUAGCCGUCGAAGGUGGGGCCGAUGAUUGGGGUGAAGUCGUAACAAGGUAACCA
This 1522-nucleotide ribosomal RNA is filed under the name uncultured bacterium. Its description in RNAcentral is "bacterial SSU rRNA". It matches the Rfam family "Bacterial small subunit ribosomal RNA". The record is from RNAcentral.